UGAACUAGUCCGUCGUUUUCACAAGAUAAACAUUCUUAGUUUAAUCAUGGCCUAACCAGUCACCAAAAUUGACCAACACACUAUAUAAAAUUGUCUUUCUCGUCACGUCUUCUUGCUGAUGCUUAAAGACUGCAAAUUUAAUUCUGUCAAAAACAACACACUAUUGUAUAGACAAUUUAACAGCAGAGUCAAAUUACAAGGGCAAGAAAUGGAAACAAUAUCUCGCUGUAAACAAAUAAGAUACUGCUUUACUUGUAGUAAAGCAACAUGAUUUUUCUCACCAUUCUUCUAAAACAUAGGCAUCCUGGUCUAAAGAAACUCUAGGUUAAAAAUAAGCUUUUAUCAAGGUCCUAGAUGCUAUAUCAAAUGCAUGUGAUAUCAUGCACAUGAAUAUGCCAAAAGCAUUUUGAGCAACAUGUUCUAAUUUUAGAAACUUCAAUAAUCAAUCAAAUUGCACCUUAUACGCCACGGUGCACUAAGCUCCCGCUAUGUAUAGGGUCCGAGGAAGGGUCAGAUCACAAGGGUCUUAUUAUACGUAGCCUUACCCUGUAUUUUUGUAAGAGUCUGUUUCCACGGCUUGAACCCGUGACCUCCUGGUAACGUGCCAACAACUUUACCUUAUAUGGAAAAAGCAUAUCCAAGCAAGGGAUUAAUUGUUAUUGGCAUUCAGGUGCACAUAAGGUAAAAAUGCAAUACCAAAAAUCAUGGUGCUGCAAUGGCAGAGAAGAAUAAAUGGGACUCCAAAAGCAUUAGUCUUCAAAGUGAUGGAGUAGAAAGGGAAAUAGUACAGAUUCCAUUCAAGAGUAGGACCAUUACUAUGUUCAUCAAAACAAUCUUGAAACACCUCUGUUGUUAGCCACUUUUGACCAUCAACGUUCAUGGGAGUGACAAGGUCUCCAUUAACAGUCACUAGCUGCAUGAUAUAUAUAGGUAAAGGGUCCCAAUAUUAGGCACCAUAGGCCACCAUUACAUGUAAAAGUCUUAUUAAGUUUAUAUGUAGUCCAAUCGCGAAAAAUGAGAAGCUGGACCAAAUAUCUCUAGUUAAAAGAUGCAAAAGACCUUCCAAAGGUGACAAAGAAGAUUCCUCAUUGCCUAUUUUCAUGAUACCUACUCUGACUCACAUGUCUGAGAAGUUUAAGUCAGGGGAACACAUUGGUUGUCCAUUCGCUAUCAGCAAGAGCGCAUUACAGUCAAUUUGAUUGUGACUUUGACAUUCUCAUAGGCAUCUCAGACUGUAGGGAUACAGAUAUUAUUCUUUCAGCAAACACAAGCAGUUUAUAACAAAGCAGUCACAAAAUAUGGUUACACAUAAAGCUAUCUUAGUUGAACAUCCUGAUGUAUUUUUCUGCAUAUGGAAAAUCAUGUGAGACCGCAAAAAUAUGAAAGACAAUCUCACUAACUUUCAAAUCUUGACAUCCUGUAUCAACCAUACAAAAACAAGCAGGCAGCUUUAAAGAUACCAGAAAGGUCAGUCUAAGGUUCGAAAGUUUUUCUAUUGCUACUCAUAUGAAAACUACUGAACUUUUAAAUAUCCAUAACCACAUUGAGUUCGUUACUUUUUUUUUUCUCCUGACCGAGAAAUCCAUGAGGGCUGAUGGCACAAGGUUCGAAACUUGGUGGAUAACAAGAGCUCGGAAGUCUUUCUAUUGCUACUCAAAUGAAAAUUACUGAACGUUUAAAUAUCCAAAACCACAUUGAGUUCGUUAUUUUUUUUUCUCCUGACCGAGAAAUCCACGAGGGCUAAUGGUACAAGGUUCGAAACUCUGUGGAUAACAAGCGUUCCCUCUACCCUUCUGAACUUAAAUAUUAGGAUUUUGUAGGGUUCAAACCUGUGACAUGCGCCUAACUCACACAUCAUGCAUUGCACUCUCACCACUAGACCAAAGCCCUGGGCCACUGAGCUCUUACCACUGAGUUCGUUACUACUAGUCCAAUUUUAAAGAAACAAUAGCCACACAAACUUGUCUGACUAAUCAUUCAGAAUAUCUAUUUCCUACAAGCAUCAUAUUUCAUACGGAACUAGUUGGACAAAUUAACCAUAUAAACCUAACAAGAAUGCUUAAACUCUUUUUUUUUUCUUUUUUUUCUGUGGGCAAAAUGGACUCAAGCUUAGGAACUGAAAUGAAAGCCACACUAUCUUGGGAAUCUGCAUGUUGAACAUAUUCAAGAAAAGGACUACCACUACAUAAUUACUUUUAGAGCACCAGGCUCCAUUUCAAACUGGAAUGCUAAUCAAAUAUUCAAACCAAGCCUGGGCUAUACAUAGACGUAGAAAAAUGAAUACCCCAGCUUGCACCUUUAUGGGACAAUAAGGGAAUUUAACCACUCACAACAUUAGGCAGCCACAUAGUGAGCACAAAGUUAACUAGUCUUUCGCCUUUUACUAAAGAAUACCGUGUGCUUAAGUUACGCGGAUUCUUCGAUUUUGGUGCCGUCCCGGUCCCGAUACGAGAUGCGGACGGGGAGGAGAUACGAUACGUCCCGAAUUCGGUCAACUGACUUUGGACACUUUGAUCGGAGUCCAUCGACAAAUUUCGGAUAAACAUUGAGGUUUUGAUUUCUCAAAACAAAAAAUAAAACAGAUUUAGGAGAAUGAAAGAAUAAUGUCUAUCUUGGAGAAUGAAAGAUUGAAUUCUAUAAUAUUCAUGUAAGUUUUUUCACAGAAUAUCACUCAAAAUUUAUAAUAUUUUUAUAGCUCUAUUUUUUAUUAGUCGAAUCCCCAUGCACCCGUAUCCAUAUCCGAAUAUGCACCCCCGAAUCUUAAAAUUUAGAUUUCGCCGAAUCCGAUACUCGGAUCUGUCCCCAUAUUGGAUACUCGCACCCGAGUAUGAACAACUUAGCCAUGUGCUCAUUUCAUUCAAUGGCAUAUGCCUAGUUUUGGAGGGGCUCUCUUCUAAAUAAGGAAGAAGAGAACAAAGCACUCACGACAUUUUUUUAAUAUGAGAGGUCAUAUAUAGAAGGGCAGCAAUGGGUGGUUGAAACCGAUAUCGACAGCUGAAUGCAAAAAAUCCGAAGGAGGUUACCUAACUUACACAAAAACUUGUCUCCCUUAGUUAGCAGUAACACCACUGCCUUGGCACACACAAAACCUAGACCUGAAAUCUCACACAUUUCGCUCAAUUCAACUCCGUUAUUUUAUGUUUGGUUUUCCCCUGUCCAACUUGUUCCCUCCGUUGCUUACCCACUUCCUGCUUUGCUCAAUUAUAAUCAUAAUCAUAAUAAUAAUAAGGCAGCAUUUCCCUGACCCUGUGACUGCACGGAUCGGAUCGGAUUCAGCACAUUUCGGAUUUUAGAAAAUGCAAUCUGAAUCCGAUCCGAAGUAUAUCGGAUCGGAUCGGAUAUAGGACCGUACUAUUACGCCUCAAAGUUGCAAACUAAUAUGUAUAUUUCUUUGUAAAACGGGCAAUACAUUAAAGAAAUUUCAUGUUUAUGCAAUUAUGAGAGUACUAUGGUAAUAGCUUUGAGGAAGAUGUAAAGGAAGUACUGACUAUCCGAAAUUAAAGUGUAGCAUUUAUACAUAUCCUAAUAAUUUUGGAUUUCGGAUUGGAUCGGAUUAAAAUAUACCAAUCCGAAUCUGAAAUUUUAAUAAACACAAUCUGAAAUCCGAUCCAAUCCGAAAUUUGAAAUUGAAUGGAUCGGUUCGAAUUUCGGAUAUCCAAUCCGAAUGAACAGCCCUAAUCUUGUCCCCAUGAUAUUCCUAAAAUCUUCCAAAACUCCCUCAGCUUAAUAAACUCACUCACAACAUUACCAAGAUUAAACACCAUCACCUAGCUUAACGCACAAAAACACUCCUUCCAUUUACUGUCCCUCUCUGCCACCACCAAACAAGAAAAAAGAGGAAACACGAAAGAAGGCAUAGUAACAGCACCAAAUCAUGAAUUAAUCCAUCCGUAGAUUGAUCGAAAGGUGCAGGCUUCCUGCCGAUAUUUGUCAUACUUAAUUAUGCAACAUUAAAUCUCAGUAGUAUAAAACUCAAUUUGUUACAUGAAUGUCAUGCAAAUGAGAUAAAAUUCAUACAGUAUACAAAUACCAUUUUUUUUCUUUUGCAACAAGUACCACAAAAAGUAAUCCCUGAAAAACAAAACAACCUUAGAAGGGUAAAUCAUAAAUUGGUGACCCAUUGUUACGGACAAAUGCUGAUGUUACAUGGUAGAACUCACAGGUAUUCGAGAUCUCUCGAGCCACGAAGUGAUAGAUACAGGAAAACUAGUUUUUCCAGCAAAAUGCACACAAAACAAUAUCGAAUUUGAGUCCAAACACUAGAUACCGCUUUUCUAGAUUAUCUUUUAACUGGUCUGUCAUUGUAAUAGUAGAAUUAAUAAACUAAAUGGAGGAUGAAAGUACUGGAAAAUAUUUUUUCAUUAGUGACUGAGAAAUCCGUCUAGGGACAAACCUUAGGAUCACUGGCAGCCUUCAAAACCUGGGGAUAACGGGCAGGCCCUUUACCCUUCUCCAUUUAAAUAUCAAGCUUAGUUCGCAUGGCGUAGGGAUUGAGCCUAUGCCCUAACAAGUCCCUCAACCUUUUCCACUUGACUAAGCCCUGGGAGCUGAAAGUACGAAAGAAUGAUUAACAUUUGAAAGGAGAUUGAAUGCAACUUACUCGGACUUCCUGUACACAAAAAGUGCUAACAGAGCAAUUUAUUCCAAGUACCUAAUAUACAGUUACAGUGCUAGACAGAUGAAAACCAUGAUCGUUA
This 4697-nucleotide long non-coding RNA is filed under the name Nicotiana benthamiana. Its description in RNAcentral is "long non-coding RNA (NBEN_LNC033708)". The stretch from base 2341 to 2450 matches the Rfam family "U5 spliceosomal RNA". The record is from RNAcentral. Lineage: Eukaryota; Viridiplantae; Streptophyta; Magnoliopsida; Solanales; Solanaceae.